GAUCAUGGCUCAGGAUGAACGCUAGCUACAGGCUUAACACAUGCAAGUCGAGGGGAAACGACAUUGAAAGCUUGCUUUUGAUGGGCGUCGACCGGCGCACGGGUGAGUAACGCGUAUCCAACCUGCCCACCACUUGGGGAUAACCUUGCGAAAGUAAGACUAAUACCCAAUGACGUCUCUAGAAGACAUCUGAAAGAGAUUAAAGAUUUAUCGGUGAUGGAUGGGGAUGCGUCUGAUUAGCUUGUUGCGGGGUAACGGCCCACCAAGGCGACGAUCAGUAGGGGUUCUGAGAGGAAGGUCCCCCACAUUGGAACUGAGACACGGUCCAAACUCCUACGGGAGGCAGCAGUGAGGAAUAUUGGUCAAUGGGCGAGAGCCUGAACCAGCCAAGUAGCGUGCAGGAUGACGGCCCUAUGGGUUGUAAACUGCUUUAUAAGGGAAUAAAGUGAGCCUCGUGAGGCUUUUGCAUGUACCUUACGAAUAAGGACCGGCUAAUUCCGUG
Molecule: ribosomal RNA, 502 nt
Filed under: uncultured bacterium
Lineage: Bacteria
Description: bacterial SSU rRNA
Rfam family: Bacterial small subunit ribosomal RNA
Source: RNAcentral